GAUAUCUGCGGGGCUGAGUCAGCGGGAGCGCUUCAGAGCUUUGUAUCGAUUUGACGUGCUGUAUGUUUCUCGCAAUGUAGUAUUGUUAACUAGUAACAGUGUACGUAGUGCAGAUAUACCACAUAUUGUAUUUUCAGUAAAGGUUGCCUUAUAAUAACCGUGAAAUCUUGGGCAGCGUUUAGUCGUACCGAAAGAUACCAGAAAGUUGUGAUGUUGGUGGUGCAAAGCUGCUAGAGGGAUUAAUGCCAGAGAUAGAAAGAUGACAAAUAUAGAAAUGUGAGAGAUUCGCGCCCAAUACCUGCUCCCUUUGUGUCGGGCUUACCCGCGCCCGGGCCUUCCUGAUGACCCCAGGCUACCUGCUCCUCAGACACAGGACACAGGGACUGCCCCCCUCCACGGUACUAGGCACAGCCGACAACUGUCUGAUUCACAAACACAGCCUCUUUGGCUGUAGAAGAGUCCACAUCCCGCGAUUCGUGUAUUUUCGACACAGUAGUUCAGAUAUUGAAUUUUCAACCACUAAUCAUGGUAAGCCAUGUUGCCACUACGAAGGUUAUUCUUACAUAGUGAAGAGAACUAAAGAAGAUGGAACAGUAACGUGGCGCUGUUCAAGACAGAGAGCAAACCACUGCCGAGGAAUGCUGAAAACGAAGGAUCCGACAGUGCUUUUCUUCAUUCGAGCAUCAAUGUGGACCUCCGGAUGUCGCUUGGUUGGAAGUAAGGUAGGCUUUGAACCACGCAAAGAAGAGGGCAAGAGACGGAGAUACGUCUAUUUCAAAAAUACGUUCAGAGGAGCUGGGUUGCCUGCAUAAUCGUGGCUAUGACUUUGUCACUGAAAUGCCAGAGCAGCAAAACAACGAAGAGAGCUUUGUAUUGCCAGCGGGCAAAAUCACAGGGAAAUUAGAUCCACCGACAAGAUAAGAAAUUGACUUACGGCAGAUUUACUAGCUAUAAACGGUGGCAGCAGUUUUUUGUUAAGCGACGACAAACUAGGAGAGAGAACGCUAGUUUUUAGCGGAAGGGCAGGAAGAGGGGCUCUAAGGAGUAAACAAGACUUUUAUAGAUGGUACGUUCAAGUGCCUCAGCAAACAGUUUUCGCAAAUAUACACCAUUCACGCUGUCUUUGAGGGUACAAAUAAUGAGACAAACAUCUAUCCAGUAUCCUUUGCAGUACUGCCAAACAAAAGAAAAGAGACGUACGUCCGUUUUUUUCUGAAAUUUGAUGGAAAAAAUUCCAGAAUGGAAACCUGCAAACGUGACCGUAGACUUCGAAUCAGCUGCGAUUACAGCAGUUAAAGCUGUGUUGGAUGUUAUUUCCAUAUGAAAAAGUGUCUCUGGAGAAAAGUUAAAGAGCUAGGACUUACUCGUGAAAACAAAGAAAACGAAGAAGUGAGACAGCAUGUUAGCAAGUGUGCUGCGCUGGCGUUUUUACGGCCUGUAGAUGUAUGUGAUGAGUGGCUAGAGAUACAUUCACAUGCACCGGAUAUCCCCAAACUUUCUGUAUUUUCUGACUACUACGUAGAUAGAUGGUUGGAAAAUGAAGAAACCCCCAUGAACCUUUGAAGUUGCUACAAACUGCGCCACCGAACAACUAACGCUGUAGAAGGUUGGCACCACAAAAUUAAUAACAUGCUUGCUAAACCAAAUCCGAAAGUUAAUGACUUUAUUAGGUGUUUGAAAAGAGAAGCAGGAAAUUCAGCGUGCGCUUAAAUGAAGGCAGAACUGAGUAUGGAAGGUAAACUGAAAAAGCGUGUCUACAUGAAACGUGAUGAAAGGUUGGGAAAAAUAGUAAAAACUUACAAAGAGGAUGGUGAUAUCGAGGUUUGCCUGAAAGCCAUAUCCUACGUACAGAAACUUCACUGAAUUUAUCAGAAGAUGUAUACAGAUAUAAUAGUGUUCAAAUGUAAGUAGCAAGUUGUAUAAAAAUAAUAAAAAUUAAAAAAAUAUUGAAGAUGCCUCUAA
Molecule: long non-coding RNA, 1962 nt
Organism: Schistocerca gregaria
Lineage: Eukaryota; Metazoa; Arthropoda; Insecta; Orthoptera; Acrididae
Exons: 2
Source: RefSeq, a predicted model, not a curated record